This 8658-nucleotide long non-coding RNA is filed under the name Homo sapiens (human). RNAcentral's name for it is "long non-coding RNA NONHSAT172628.1". Lineage: Eukaryota; Metazoa; Chordata; Mammalia; Primates; Hominidae. The record is from RNAcentral.
GCCUGUAGUCCCAGCUACUGCGGAGGCUGAGGAGGAGAAUGGCGUGAACCCAGGAGGCUGAGCUUGCAGUGAGCCGAGAUUGAGCCACUGCACUCCAGCCUGGGCGACACAGCGAGACUCCGUCUCAAAAAAAAAAAAAAAAGAACUUAAAAUUGAUCUCAUUUAUCUGCCCAACAACUUUGUACUCAUAUUAUUUUAUUCUAUUUUAUUUUAUCACUAUUAUUAUUAUAUUUUUGUAGAGACAGGGUCUCACUAUAUUGACCAGGAUGAUUUCGAACUCCCGGCCUCAAGCAAUCCUCCCACUUUGGCCUCUCAAAAUGCUGGAAUUACAGGCAUGAGCCACUGUGCCCAGCCUCCUGUACCCAUUUUAGGGACACGUAAGCUAAGGCUCGAAUCUUUACAGAGGCUGUCUGAGGUCACAGGACUCAGAAGUAGCAAGAAUGGGCUUGGCAUGGUGGCUCACGCCUAUAAUCCCAAUACUUUGAGAGACAGAGGUGGGAAGAUCACUUGAGUCCAGGAGUUCAAGACCAGCCUGGACAACAUACCAAGACUGUCUCUACCAAAAGAAAAACAAUCAGCUGGGUGCAGUGGCACGUGUCCGUAGUCCCAGCUACUCAGGAGGCCAAGGCAAGAGAAUUGUUUGAGCCCAGGAGUUUGAGGUUACAGUGAACUGUGACUGCACCACUGCACUCCCGCCUGGGCAAUAGAGCGAGACUCUGUCUCUAAAAAUAAAAAUAGCAAAGAAGUAACAAGAGGUGGGAUCUAACACCGGUUCUGUCUUUCCAUUGGAAACCCAGAGCUCUUUCCAUGACCCCUGCCCAGGGUGAAUAUUGUUUGUCUGAAGGAAUCCAGGAGCCUUGUGGAUUGGAGCUUAUGCUGUGCCAUUGUCUUUGGAUGGAUUGAAGGGUUUGACAUGCCAGGGCUGGGACAUGAUGACAGUCUUAUUCUGCCUGCCUCAGGCUUCAGGAAACAACUGCUGUUAGAGCCAUGUGGGAGCGUUUCUUGGGGGUGUUUCUUUGGAGCGUUUCUUCUAGACCAGGAAGGUGACAACCUUCACAGUGGGAUGCAUGGACUGGUGGUGGAGUUUCCAGCUUCAGAGCUCACCAAGAAAGAGCAUGAAGCUGAUGGUUUGGGUCCUGGAGACAGGGACAAAAGGAACAGAGCCUUCCCCCAGCACCCCUUUCCACUGGAGGUUCCUCAGAGGCAAUAAAGCUUGAUGGUUAGAACAUGGCACCUGGCAUCUGAACUCAAACCAGCCCGAACACUCACCUCUCUGAGCCUCAGAAUCCUGGUCUGUAAAAUGCGCACACUACUAGUACUUACUUCUCAAAGUUGGACUUGGUAAUGUCUGUCAAGCACCUAACAUAUAACAGGGCAAGGAAGAAAAGCUCAAGCAAUGGUAGCCAUCACCAGGCGUGGUGGCUCACACCUGUAACCCCAGCACUUUGGGAGGCUGAAGCGGGUGGAUCACCUGAGGUCAGGAGUUCGAGACCAGCCUGGCCAACAUGGUGAAACCCCGUCUCUACUAAAAAUACAAAAAUUAGCCGGGCAUGAUGGCAGGCGCCUAUAAUCAGCUACUUGGGAGGCUGAGGUAGGAGAAUCACUUGAACCCGGGAGGCAGAGGUUACAGUGAGCCAAGAUUGCACCACUGCACUCCAGCCUGGGUGACAAGAGCAAAACUCCGUCUCAAAAAAAAAAAAAAAAAAAGGUAGCCAAGCCAUCAUCAUCAUCAUCUCCCUAUUAUUAUUAAUCUCUGUUGCAUUUCUAUUAACUGUGUGUCUUGGGAGAAUGGAAAUUCCCCAAGUAGGCGUCCUGCUCAACAGUUAAUGAUGGUAAAACAGUCUCACUUGCCUAACCACUUCGCCUAAGUGUUACUUGACUGACAGGGUGGGUUAUUUUGGGGAGAAAAAAAAUCAGUCAAGCUCUCGAGUGCACCGUCCCUGAAAGGUUUCUAUGACAACACAUACCUGGAUGUUCCAGUGGGAGGGUCACCUGGGGAAGAGUUCAGAGCUAAAAUCAAGAGGGGGCCCCACCCAGGUGGGGGCCCCACCUGGAGGCUGGGGGAGGUCCUCCCACUCCUCCUAUUUUUCUGCCUGUGUUUUCCCAGCCCUGACUCUGUAUCCCUUUUAAACCUCUUCACAGCCCUGUGGGGUAAGUACUAUUAUUCUUACAUCCAUUUUACAGAUGAAGCAACUGAGGCUUGGAGAAAUUAAAGCUUGCCCAAGGUCAGUCUGCUGAUCACAUCUUGGAUCAUCUUAGACCUUUCUGGGUUUCAUUUGUCAGACUAGAGGAGUUACACUAGAGUGAGGUUUCUCAGUCUCAGCACUGCCAACGUGUUGGGCUCAGUAAUCCCAUGUCAUAGGAGACUGUCCUAUGCAUUGUAGAGCAUUCAGCAGUCCCCUCGGCCUCUACCCACCGGAUGCCAGGAGCACCUCCCUGUCUCCCACCCCCGACCACAGUCAUGACAACCAAAACUGUCUCCAGCUGUGGCUAGAUGGCCCCAGUUAAUAACCACUGGGCUAGGCAAUGAUCUUUCCUCUUUCCUUACACUUGUGCAUUCUAAGUUUUUUAAUUUUUUUUUUUUUUUUAGAUGGAGUCUCGCUCUGUUUCCCAGGCUGAAGUGCAAUGGCGUGAUGUCGGCUCACUGCAUCCUCCGGCUCCUGGACUCAAGCGAUUCUCCUGCCUCAGGCUCCCAAGUAAGUGGAACCACAGACAUUUUCUAUUUCUUUGCAAGCAUUUUCUAUUUCUUUGCAAGUUCACCUGUCUGUUCACCUGUGACACCAUGCCCAGCUAAUUUUUGUAUUUUUAGUAGAGACAGGGUUUCACCAUGUUGGCCAGGCUGGUCUCGAACUCCUGACCUCAGGUGAUCCACCUGCCCCAGCCUCCCAAAGUGUUGGGAUUACAGUGUGAGCCACCACGCCCAGCCUACAUUUUAUUUAUGUAUUUUUUUUUUGAGAUGGGGUCUUGCUCUGCCACCCAGCCUGGAGUGCAGUGAUGCUAUCACGGCUCACUACAGCCUCAGCCUCUCAGGCUCAAGCAGUGCUCCCACCUUGGCCUCCUGAGUAGCUAGGACCUAGGCACAUACCACCACACCAGGCUAAUUUAUUUAUUUUUUGUAUUUUUGUAAAGAUGGGGUCUCCUUAUGUUGCCUGGGCUGGUAUCAAACUCCUGGGCUCAAGUGAUCUUCCCACCUCAGCCUUCCAAAGUGCUGGGAUGACAGGCAUGAGCCACCACGUCUAGCCCACUCUAAAGCUCUUUCCCAGGACCCAUCUCAAGUGAUCCAUGUGUGUUCAUGUGACAUUGAGGUCUUUCAUGCAAAGAUCCUUAUCCAGGGCCCUAGAGCAGCCCGCACCUGAGCCAGGUGCUCAGGAAAUCAGAAUGAAAAUCAUCUCACCUGCUUGGUUGUCUGGCACGUCUCACUGUAUCACCCUGCUUUAAAGGCACAGAAACUGAGGGUCCCUGGGGAGGAGGGACUCACUAGGGAUCCCACAGUCUGUGAGCGAGAAAGCUGGGUGGGAGCCCUGAUGGGCCUGACUCUAGGGCAGGAGUUUCCACGGUAUCCUCUAAGGAGUUUGAGACCAGCCUGGGCAACAUGGUGAAACCCCGUAUCUACUAAAAAUACAAAAAAAGUAAUAAUAAUAAACAGGCAUAGUGGUGCACAUCUGUAGACCUAGCUGCUCAAGAGUCUGAAGUGGGAGAAUCACUUGAGUUAAGGAGAUCGAGGCUGCAGUGAGCCAAGACCGCACUGCAGCCUGGGUGAUGAGAGUGAGACGCUCUCUCAAAACAAAAUAAAACAAAAAUAGCUGAGGCUGAGAGAGACAAAUGCCUGAGAAGGAACGGUGGGUCUGACCUUGAACCCUGGUGACUCCAAGUCAGGAGCUGCCUCUGGGACCCAGCAUACAGCCUGGCACCUUCCAGGCAAAGCCCCUCCCUCUGCUGCCUCUGAAUUCAGCAGGAGACUGAGCGUUUGCAUACACUUCGUGUCUGAAAACUUCCAGGAUUCCCAAGAUUCAUUUCACAAAGACUUUUCUCGUAGGACAGGUAUUUGAAACAUCUGGUUAACAAGUACCCAGCUUGAAGAAAGCCUGGAUCUUCACAGCACGCUCAGUUUGUAGAAGAGAAAAACCCUACUCUGGGCUCUAAUUUGCUUCAGCUCCAUUAAACACAUCCUGAGCCCUGCUGUGUGCCAGACGCUGUGCUGAAUACCUGGCACCAGAAGACCAAUCGGGCCCAGGGCUUCUCCCCAAGGAGCUUCCUGGCCAGGCGGAGACACCCCUGGAAUAGACCAUUUAGGAGCCUGAGGCCUGCAUGUAGCAUUUAGUCAGCAGUUAAGUGUGGAAGUAUAAGUGAGUAAAUGGAUGAAUACCUGAGGGUGCGAAUGAGCUACAGAAUUAAUGACUGAAUGAAUUAAUGAAGUUGACAAAUGCUAUUACAGAAGUGAGCACAGACUAUGAUAGCCCAGCAGAGAGGCAUUUAGAACCUUAGCUGUGGCCACAGGUGAUGGUGCAGGAGGAAAAGCCAAUAUCUGUGCAGCAUUUUCCAUUUCUUUGCAAGUUCACCUGCCUCUAUCAUCUGAGACUCACCCUGAGGGUGUUCUUUGGUUGCCUGAGAGUCUGCUCAACCUGAAAGGGACAGGUGGCCAGAAGUGCUGGGGAGUUGACAUCCUGAGCAAGCAGUUCUUGGCCAAUGACGGGGAGUAGUUGGUGUAUAAAUACCCCAGCUUCCUUGCUCCACGGUGGGAUAAUCCUAAAGUGACUGUUCUGUGCCGGCUCCCAGUGUUCCCCAAUGGAACGGAGCUGCAGUCACCCACAGUGAUUAUUUGCUAGAUAACCCACACCUUAUUAUCGACCCACCAAUAUCUCCUGGAAUCAUCCUGAGAUCACCUCCCAAAUAAAGCACUCAAAUCUUUGUCUCAGAAUCUAUUUCUAGGAGAACCCAAACUACAAGAGUGAUGAUUAUGAAAACAUUUAUGGUCAUAGCUAAUAUUUGCUGAGUGCUUACUACAUGCCAGCCACUGCCUGCUACGUGCUCUAAGGCACUUCUCCCACUUAACACUCAUGAAAUCUCUGAGAUGCAGACAUUAUGAUCAUCAUCCCAUUUUACAGAUGGGACUGAGGCUCAGAAGUGAAGUCAUCUAUGUAAAGUCAUGUAAUUCUUUAUCGUCACAGCCAGAAUAUGAGCCCAACUCUCUUUAACUCCAGAGUUUGAGGAUAUAACCAUUCUGCCAUGCUGUCUCCUGAUUUUCUUUUCUUUCUUUCUUUCUUUCUUUUUUUUUUUUUUUCUUUGAGAUGGAGUUUUGUUCUUGUUGCCCAGGCUGUAGUGCAAUGGUACCAUCUCGGCUCACUGCAACCUCCGCCUCUCGUAUUCAAAUGAUUCUCCUGCCUCAGCCUCCCUAGUAGCUAGGAUUACAGGCACCUGCCACCAUGCCCAGCUAAUUUUUUUGUUUUUUGUAUUUUUAGUAGAGACAGGGUUUCACUAUGUUAGCCAGGCUGGUCUCGAACUCCUGACCUCAGUUGAUCUACCCACCUCAGCCCCCAAAAGUGCUGGGAUUACAGGCCUGAGCCACCGCGCCCGGCUCUGUCUCCUGAUUUUCAUCUUCCAUUGUCUGUAGGGAGGAGAGAUGAGGACGAGAGGGAGAAAGGAUGCCUGGGCUUGCUUUCUCAGUGGGGAAGAGUUCAAUCUCAGUUCAGGUUUUCUUUUAACAAAAUUUUUAUGUUAAUAAAAUUAAUAAAGUUGUUUUAUUUAUUUAUUUUAAAUUUUUAUUUUCUUUAUUAUUUUGUUAUUUUAUUUUAAGUUCUGGGAUACAUGUGCAGAAUGUGCAGGUUUGUUACAUAGGUAUACAUGUGCCAUAGUGGUUUGCUGCACCUAUCAACUCGUCAUCUAAGUCUUAAGCCCCGCGUGCAUUAGGUAUUUGUCCUAAUGAUCUCCCUCCCCUUGCCCCCCAAUCCCCUGACAAGCCCCUGUGUGUGAUGUUCCCCUCCCUGUGUCCAUGUGUUCUCACAGCUCAACUCCCACUUAUGAGUGAGAACACGUGGUGUUUGGCUUUGUGUUCCUGUGUUAGUUUGCUGGGAAUGAUGGCUUCUAGCUUCAUCCAUGUCCCUGAAAAGGACAUGAUCUCAUUCUUUUUUAUGGCUGCAUAGUAUUCCAUGGUGUAUAUGUGCCACAUUUUUGGGGUUUUCUCCUCCUCUGUAAAGUUUCAGCACAGAGUUCCUGGACAGCGCCUCAGGGCCAAGAGCUCCCCAAGAGCUCCCCAAGAGCUCUCCAAGAUGUCCUUCCUCAGCAUCCUGCUGUCCUUUUCAUGCAGUGAAAUUGAUACGUAUUCCUAGAACUCCUACUGCAUGCCAAGCACUGUCAGAAGUCAAGUCAUCAAAGAACUCAGAAAAGAAGUACAUGUUUAGCUAUUUUUUCCAUCAGUCUCGAUGAGGGAGCUACACUCCAACUGAUCCCUGGAGAUACCACAGCCAUGUAUUGUCAAGAAGAAUUGGGGUAAAUAGGCAGGGUAUCUCUAGCCACAGGAGGAAGGGACCCAGGAUGUACUAAGCUCCUUCUAUAUUCUUGGAACUACAUACACAUUAACUCAGGCAGGGUUUCUCAAGCUCGGCACCACUGACAUGUUGAGCAUGAGAAUUGUCUGUUGUUCACUUUCUGCCUUUAGGAAGUCCUGCAGAGCAUGGGGGUGGCAGUAUGACCCAGCUCCCCUGUCAUUUCACUACAUCUUGAGCCAGAAGGGGGACUGCACUGCCGUGCAUCCUUUGGGCUGGCAAUGCUGGCGGUCCCAGUCAUCACAAUGGCAGCAGAACAAAGCCCUGACAUGUGUGUGACGUGUCAGAUGCAGCAGCUGCCUGUUGGGCCUGGCUCACUUUCUCAUGCUUUCCCCAUAUUACCUGAGAUGUUCAGAGGAGGAAAGCUGGAGGCAGCCCUUGGGUCUUCUAGGAGCCUAGCACGAGGGCCAAAAUGCAUGAGAACAAGCACAAGAUAAUCCCAUAGAAGCCUUCCUCUUAGCAUUCAGGCCUCAGAUUAAAUGUCACAGCCUUGUGGACAACUCCCUGAGCAUCAUGGCUGGUGUACCCACCCUGAUCCCAGGAACAUCAUCUUAUUUUGCAUUUCCCUAAAGCACUUAUUAUCAGAAAUUAGCUUCUUAGGCUGGGCACAGUAGAUCAUACCUGCAUUCCCAGCACUUUGGGAGGCCAAGGUGGGAAGAUCACUUGAGACCAGGAUUUCGAGACCAGCCUGGCCAAUAUGGCAAAACCCCAUUUCUACUUAACAUACAAAAACUAGCUGGGUAUGGUGGUACACGUCUGUAAUCCCAGCUUCUCGGGAGGCUGAGACACAAGAAUCGCUUGAACCGGGGAGGCAGAGGUUGCAGUGAGCCAAGAUAGCGCCACUGCACUCCAGCCUGGGUGACAGAGCAAGACUCCGUCUCAAAAAGAAAGAAAAAAAAGAACGAAUGAAAGAGAGAGAGAGAAAAAAAGAAAGAGAGAAAAAAAUGAGAGAGAGAGAAAGAAAAGAAAGAAAGACAGAAAGAAAAAAAGAAAAGAGAAGAGAAAGGAAAAGAAAAAAAAAAAAAAAAGAAAAGAGCUUUCUUAGUUACACAUUCAUCUUCUUAUACACUGUCUCCCAGCUGCAGAAUGGAAGUUCCAUGGGGUCAGGACCACAAUCCCCAAUGCCUGGCACGCAGUAGGUGCUAAAUGUGUAUUUGUUGACUGAACAAAUUGAUGGAAAAAUUACUAAAUGAAUGAAUGAGCUCUGGCCCACCUCUCACAAUCAAGCAGAUAGUUUGGUGAAACUAGUACAACUAUGUACAGGGCUAAUGCACAGUGCCCAGCAGGGACCAGGAGCAAACUUCCCUUACUUACCCAACCAAUGACCUACUGUGGUACAUACUUUUUUCCUUAUUAUGGUAAAAUACACAUUGCACAAAAUUCACCAAUUUUUACCAUUUUAGAGUGUACAAUUCAAUGGCAUUAAGUACAAUCAAAAUGCUUUUUUGUUGCUGUUGUUUUUGAGAUGGAGUCUUGCUCUGUCACCCAGGCUAGGUGGAGUGCAAUGGCACAACCUUGGCUCACUGCAACCUCUGCCUCCCAGGUUCAGGCAAUCCUCCCACCUCUGCCUCUUAAGUAGCUGAGACCACAGCCACACACCACCACACCUGGUUAAUUUUUGUAUUUUUUCUAACAGUGGGGUUUUGCCAGGUUUCCCAGACUGGUCUCAAAUUCCUGGGCUCAAGUGAUCCGGCAGCCUUGGAGCUCCCAAAGUGCUAGGAUUACAGGUGUGAGCCAUUGCACCUGUUCCCCCUUCCCAUGUUUUCUUCUAAGAAUUUUAUAGUGUUAGGUCUUAUAUUUAUUUAGGUCUUUGAUCCAAUGUUGAGUUAGUUUUUUUAUAUGGUGUGAGGUAAGCGUCUAUCUUCUUUCUUUUACAUGUGAAAACGUGGUAGAUACUUUAUUCAAUUUACAGAUUAGAACAUAGAGACUGAGAGGGAGUAAAUGACAUGUCCAGAGUCACAUAGCCAUUGGGAGUUGGAACUAGAAUUCAAUAUUAGGUCUGACUCCCAAGUUGAUCCCCUUUCCACCACAUCAAAAUGCCCUUUAUUAUUUUGUAUAGAUGAUAUCUCUUUAUUAUUUUGUGACCAGGGAUGUGGAAAUCACAGGCCUAGUCAAU